RNAcentral lists this unclassified non-coding RNA (354 nucleotides) under soil metagenome. RNAcentral describes it as "partial contains 5.8S ribosomal RNA, internal transcribed spacer 2, and large subunit ribosomal RNA". The stretch from base 1 to 120 matches the Rfam family "5.8S ribosomal RNA", at positions 35 to 154 of the family's 154-position model. The record is from RNAcentral.
GAUGAAGAACGUAGCGAAAUGCGAUAAGUAAUGUGGAUUGCAGAAUUCCGUGAAUCAUCGAAUCUUUGAACGCACAUUGCGCCCCCUGGCAUUCCGGGGGGCAUGCCUGUCCGAGCGUCAUUUCUGCCCUCCAGCCCGGCUGGGUGUUGGGCGCUGUCCCCCCGGGGACACGCCCCAAAGGCAGUGGCGGCGCCGCGUCGGGUCCUCGAGCGUAUGGGGCUUUGUCACCCGCUCGGGACGGACUCGUCGGCGCUGGUCUUCCUCCAGGCGACCCUUCGGGGCUCGUCUUCCUUCGGUUGACCUCGGAUCAGGUAGGGUUACCCGCUGAACUUAAGCAUAUCAAUAAGCGGAGGA